UUAAUAAAAACAACUUCAUCAUAUAUUCAUGUGAUAUAUACAGUACCAACAACAAAAAGAAAAAAGAAAAGAAGAUAAAUUAGGUAGAAAGAUCAAAAGUAAAAAAAGGGACAGGUAACUUCAGCUGUUAGGUUCAUUUGGUACUCUUGUACAUGUUGUCAAUCACGUCCUUGUAAAAUUUGAGCAUCUGGGGUCUUUUCUUCUUGAAUGUUGGAGUUAGAAGGUCUCGUUCCAUGUCAAAUGGAAGAGGAUCGAGGUGUACAGCUUUUAUGAACUCAAAGCCCUUCAGCUUCUUUUCUUUGCCAGUUUUUGCAAGCUCGCCAAUUAUGUACUCUUUCACUUUCGCAUUUUCACACAAGGAAGCAAAAUCCCCAGAUAUGCCAUUAUGUUCGGCCCAGUGUUCAAUUGCUCGCUCAUUUGGGUUAAUGACAGCAACAAGGAAAGACUCAAAACUGUUUCCGUAUAUCCAUAUCGAGUCAAUAACAGGAUUAUCGCCAUAGAUAUUCUCCAAAUUUUCAACGGCAACAUAUUCACCUUGUGAUAGCUUGAAAAUGUUCUUCUUGCGAUCAAUUAUUUUCAAGCUACCAUUAGGUUGCCACUCGCCAACAUCGCCUGUGUGGA
This 621-nucleotide unclassified non-coding RNA is filed under the name Hevea brasiliensis (rubber tree). The record is from RNAcentral. Lineage: Eukaryota; Viridiplantae; Streptophyta; Magnoliopsida; Malpighiales; Euphorbiaceae.